AGGGCAUCUUCCACAAUGGACGAAAGUCUGAUGGAGCAACGCCGCGUGAGUGAUGAAGGUUUUCGGAUCGUAAAACUCUGUUGUAAGGGAAGAACCAGUACGUCAGGCAAUGGACGUACCUUGACGGUACCUUAUUAGAAAGCCACGGCUAACUACGUGCCAGCAGCCGCGGUAAUACGUAGGUGGCAAGCGUUGUCCGGAAUUAUUGGGCGUAAAGGGUGCGUAGGCGGAUAUUUAAGUCAGAUGUGAAAACCCCGGGCUUAACUUGGGGACUGCAUUUGAAACUGGAUAUCUAGAGUGCAGGAGAGGAAAGCGGAAUUCCUAGUGUAGCGGUGAAAUGCGUAGAGAUUAGGAAGAACACCAGUGGCGAAGGCGGCUUUCUGGACUGUAACUGACGCUGAGGCACGAAAGCGUGGGUAGCAAACA
This 426-nucleotide ribosomal RNA is filed under the name uncultured Bacillota bacterium. RNAcentral's name for it is "bacterial SSU rRNA". It matches the Rfam family "Bacterial small subunit ribosomal RNA", at positions 356 to 774 of the family's 1533-position model. The record is from RNAcentral. Lineage: Bacteria; Bacillati; Bacillota.